This is a non-coding RNA of Paramuricea clavata, 719 nucleotides long. The record is from the annotation of a GenBank genome assembly. Lineage: Eukaryota; Metazoa; Cnidaria; Anthozoa; Malacalcyonacea; Plexauridae.
UCAUAUUACAAGAACACAUUGGUAUUGAAGGAACUAGAUACUGUUCCGAAAUAUCACUUACACGAACCGCCCUGACCGCGUAGCUCAGUUGGAAGAGCAUUGGGCUAGUAUUCCAAAGGUCGUAGGUUCGAAUCCCACCGUGGCCGGGCAUAUUUUUCAAGCUCGCCUGGUGUGGAUAUGCACUCAGAGUAACAUCACAAACAUAUUAUUCACCUGAGUACACAACACCAGCACAGAAAAAAUUCAUAUUACAAGAACACAUUGGUAUUGAAGGAACUAGAUACUGUUCCAAAAUAUCACUUACUCGAACCGUCCUGACCGCGUAGCUCAGUUGGAAGAGCAUUGGGCUAGUAUUCCAAAGGUCGUAGGUUCGAAUCCCACCGUGGCCGGGCAUAUUUUUCAAGCUCGCCCGGUGUGGAUAUGCACUCAGAGUAACAUCACAAACCUAUUAUUCACCUGAGUACACAACACCAGCACAGAAAAAAAUUCAUAUUACAAGAACACAUUGGUAUUGAAGGAACUAGAUACUGUUCCGAAAUAUCACUUACUCGAACAGUCCUGACCGCGUAGCUCAGUUGGAAGAGCAUUGGGCUAGUAUUCCAAAGGUCGUAGGUUCGAAUCCCACCGUGGCCGGGCAUAAGUUUCAAGCUCGCCUGGUGUGGAUAUGCACUCAGAGUAACAUCGCAAACAUAUUAUUCACCUGAGUACACAACACCAAC